Oncorhynchus keta (chum salmon) is the source of this 1000-nucleotide long non-coding RNA. RefSeq lists it as uncharacterized. Lineage: Eukaryota; Metazoa; Chordata; Actinopteri; Salmoniformes; Salmonidae. The record is from RefSeq and is a predicted model, not a curated record. The transcript is spliced from 3 exons.
GAGAGGAGAGGAGAGGAGAGGAGAGGAGAGGAGAGGAGAGGAGAAGAGAGGAGAAGAGAAGAGAAGAGAAGAGAAGAGAAGAGAAGAGAAGAGAAGAGGAGAGGAGAGGAGAGGAGAGGAGAGGAGAGGAGAGGAGAAGAGAAGAGAAGAGAAGAGAAGAGAAGAGAAGAGAAGAGGAGAGGAGAGGAGAGGAGAGGAGAGGAGAGGAGAGGAGAGGAGAGGAGAGGAGAGCAUUUACAGCGACUUCAGGAUGGAAAUCAAGCUUCUGGUUUGGCAGCUCACAGAGAAGUGGCGUCUGGCAUGGUGCUGGUUGCUAGGAAUGACACCUCACAGAGAGCUUGCUGCCAGUGUUAAUCACAUAUUGAAGCAGGUAUUCAACAUGGGACCAGCGAAGAGGUCAACUAACAGAGGGAGAAUUGCACCGUCUGACAUCAUAUUGUUUUUCAUCAUCACCGUGGAAACAGAACGACGCCCAAAACGGCUUCCUAUUGGACAUGGGACAUGGACACACCAAAUACAUUGUUUACUGUUUCGUUAUUUCAUGGACUUGUGAAACCUGGGUCGUGAGAAUUUGUCCUGAUGUGUUCUGAUACCAGCCCUACAAGAGGAGGAACUCAGAGGAGGAACUCAGAGGAUCAACUCAGAGGAUGAACUCAGAGGAGGAACUCAGAGGAUGAACUCAGAGGAGGAAUUAAAUGCAUAAUAAAGUCUGGGCAACAUGGAGCCACUGACACACCAACGGGACUGCAGGUAACUCAUUGAUUGGUUUUGGACCUGUCUGUUUGAGGCCUUACUGAACUUACAACAUGAAUGGUUCUGACCCGCCUGUAAUACUACAAUGAACAAUGCUCUCACAGAGUGACACUAACCCGUCUCUGAGACGGUUGUGGUAAAGUUGAGGUCCUGUCAAGUUUAGAGUUCCUGUGUUAAAGGUCUGCAGGACACAAAGGAGAGGGGAGUGGGGCAAGGAACUAUAAGAAGGCCCAUUCACACCGCAAAC